RNAcentral lists this ribosomal RNA (1401 nucleotides) under Staphylococcus warneri. RNAcentral describes it as "bacterial SSU rRNA". It matches the Rfam family "Bacterial small subunit ribosomal RNA". The record is from RNAcentral. Lineage: Bacteria; Bacillati; Bacillota; Bacilli; Caryophanales; Staphylococcaceae.
CAGUCGAGCGACAGAUAAGGAGCUUGCUCCUUUGACGUUAGCGGCGGACGGGUGAGUAACACGUGGAUAACCUACCUAUAAGACUGGGAUAACUUCGGGAAACCGGAGCUAAUACCGGAUAACAUAUUGAACCGCAUGGUUCAAUAGUGAAAGGCGGCUUUGCUGUCACUUAUAGAUGGAUCCGCGCCGUAUUAGCUAGUUGGUAAGGUAACGGCUUACCAAGGCAACGAUACGUAGCCGACCUGAGAGGGUGAUCGGCCACACUGGAACUGAGACACGGUCCAGACUCCUACGGGAGGCAGCAGUAGGGAAUCUUCCGCAAUGGGCGAAAGCCUGACGGAGCAACGCCGCGUGAGUGAUGAAGGUCUUCGGAUCGUAAAACUCUGUUAUCAGGGAAGAACAAAUGUGUAAGUAACUGUGCACAUCUUGACGGUACCUGAUCAGAAAGCCACGGCUAACUACGUGCCAGCAGCCGCGGUAAUACGUAGGUGGCAAGCGUUAUCCGGAAUUAUUGGGCGUAAAGCGCGCGUAGGCGGUUUUUUAAGUCUGAUGUGAAAGCCCACGGCUCAACCGUGGAGGGUCAUUGGAAACUGGAAAACUUGAGUGCAGAAGAGGAAAGUGGAAUUCCAUGUGUAGCGGUGAAAUGCGCAGAGAUAUGGAGGAACACCAGUGGCGAAGGCGACUUUCUGGUCUGUAACUGACGCUGAUGUGCGAAAGCGUGGGGAUCAAACAGGAUUAGAUACCCUGGUAGUCCACGCCGUAAACGAUGAGUGCUAAGUGUUAGGGGGUUUCCGCCCCUUAGUGCUGCAGCUAACGCAUUAAGCACUCCGCCUGGGGAGUACGACCGCAAGGUUGAAACUCAAAGGAAUUGACGGGGACCCGCACAAGCGGUGGAGCAUGUGGAUUUAAUUCGAAGCAACGCGAAGAACCUUACCAAAUCUUGACAUCCUUUGACCGCUCUAGAGAUAGAGUCUUCCCCUUCGGGGGACAAAGUGACAGGUGGUGCAUGGUUGUCGUCAGCUCGUGUCGUGAGAUGUUGGGUUAAGUCCCGCAACGAGCGCAACCCUUAAGCUUAGUUGCCAUCAUUAAGUUGGGCACUCUAAGUUGACUGCCGGUGACAAACCGGAGGAAGGUGGGGAUGACGUCAAAUCAUCAUGCCCCUUAUGAUUUGGGCUACACACGUGCUACAAUGGACAAUACAAAGGGCAGCUAAACCGCGAGGUCAAGCAAAUCCCAUAAAGUUGUUCUCAGUUCGGAUUGUAGUCUGCAACUCGACUACAUGAAGCUGGAAUCGCUAGUAAUCGUAGAUCAGCAUGCUACGGUGAAUACGUUCCCGGGUCUUGUACACACCGCCCGUCACACCACGAGAGUUUGUAACACCCGAAGCCGGUGGAGUAACCA